Molecule: long non-coding RNA, 533 nt
Organism: Crotalus tigris (Tiger rattlesnake)
Lineage: Eukaryota; Metazoa; Chordata; Lepidosauria; Squamata; Viperidae
Exons: 3
Source: RefSeq, a predicted model, not a curated record
AGCCUGGAACAAGCCAGGAACAGAAACCACCUGGGCGGGUCACCCACACGCCUUUUUGUAAAAGGAGGAACAUGGCAUCAGCCCAGCAGCUACGGCAGCGCAGGAAAACAACGGCGGGCACGACACCCACGGCGGCUGCGGGGCAGGGGGUGUCCUGGCUGGAGAGCCACUCGGGGCAGCCCUGGACCAGGCCCGGCGGGGGUCUCUCCCUGCCCUAUUUAUUGGGACACUGAAGGCCCUGGGGUUUACGGUGGGCUCAGCUUCACAGCACAGCUAGAAAUAGAUUGAUUCCUGGCUGAGUCCUGCAAUGGUUUCCUUGCUCCAGGAUCAAGCCAGGAUCAAGUUUCCUUCUCUGGAUCCCCUGGAGAGCAACCCACGUGGAAACGCCAUGCAGGCCUGCGAAGAGACCGUGUCCCCUGCCCAGCAGGCGCAUCCGGGCUUCCACCGCCAGCCCCGCGACGGACACGGCCGGGCGGACCGAAGCCCUCCUGGAUCCCCGCGCAGUUCCGCCGCCUCCCCGCCCUGCCCGGAGC